This 2083-nucleotide long non-coding RNA is filed under the name Salmo salar (Atlantic salmon). RNAcentral describes it as "lncRNA (ENSSSAG00000102658.1)". The record is from RNAcentral. Lineage: Eukaryota; Metazoa; Chordata; Actinopteri; Salmoniformes; Salmonidae.
GAUGUUUAUAAUUUACAGUAGUCAUUAUGUAUGGUUAUCUUGUACCAUACAUGUCAUUUAGAUGUUUAUAAUUUACAAACAAACAUUUUAUUUAUGUAGUUCUCUAAAUCAAUAUAUAGUAGACAAACCAGUUUAAAACCUAUAAGUUUACCAAAUGGUUUAGUAAGUAAAUGUUAAGCGCAGUUGGAUUAAGUGAAGAGGACAGCAGAGAGCCUGGAGAAAAGCCUGGAGCUCGGGAGAGAACUAGGAAAGACGGUCUGAUCCACGAGGGCCAGUGCUGUAGAAAGAGACAAAGACGUGUGGAGCAGCCCAUGAAGAGGAUGGUGAAUGAGAUCAGAGAGGGGGGUUGGGAAGCUCAGACGGAUGACCAGUUUAGGAAGAUCUUCAUGGAAUCCAAGGGGGACAUCCGGAAGAUGAUGGCCGGAGCUGAGUUUGACCGUGAGAAGGAGAUCACCACCAAGAACAUCAUGGAGUCGGAGCGGGAUGAGUCUGACAGAGCGGAGUGGAACGUAGAGCUGGGUGGGGGCGUGGGCGGACCGGGAUCCUGGUGGUUAAGGGGCUGGGGCCGUAGCUGAGGGGUGAUCGGACUCAAGGGGCGUGGCCUGGGUGGUAGAUAGACAUGGCCCCUCCCUCCAUCGAGGUCCCUCCUUCCUGUGUUGCAUGGCAACAAACUCUCCUCCCCCCAUCCAUCUCCCCCUGGGCUAAGGAGGAACUGAGGACUACUGCUGAGAGUGGAACAGGGGCUUUAAUGCAGGUAAAGGGAGUUAGUAAGAGACUUGCUGGUUCGUACCUAUUGAAGAAGUGUACACUGCUUUGACAUAAGCUAAAAUACAUUUUGGGGCGAUAUGUCAGAUGCGUCGGUUGUUGUUGUUGUUUCAGUCUGCUAGCUCAGAAGACAGAGGAUCUCGCAGGCAAGCUGUAGGAAGCGUUCAGUAAAAGAAGAAGAGAGGGGUGAAGGAAGCAGAGGAUGAGGCAAAAUAGUCUCAGGGACAGGAAGCAGACGGUGAGGUAAAAGAGUCUCAGGGACAGGAAGCAGAGGGUGAGGUAAAAGAGUCUCAGGGACAGGAAACAAAGGGUGAGGCAAAAGAGUCUCAGGGACAGGAAGCAGAAGGUGAGGUAAAAAAGUAUCAGGGACAGGAAGCAGAGGGUGAGGUAAAAGAGUCUCAGGGACAGGAAGCAGAGGGUGAGGUAAAAGAGUCUCAGGGACAGGAAGCAGAGGGCGAGGUAAAAGAGUCUCGGAGACAGGAAGCAGAGGAUGAGGUAAAAUAGUCUCUGGGACAGGAAGCAGAUGGUGAGGUAAAAUAGUCUCUGGGACUGGAAGCAGACGGUGAGGUAAAAGAGUCUCAGGGACAAGAAGCAGAGUGUGAGGUAAAAGAGUAUCAGGGACAGGAAACAAAGGGUGAGGUAAAAAAGUAUCAGGGACAGGAAGCAGAGGGUGAGGUAAAAUAGUCUCUGGGACAGGAAGCAGAGGGUGAGGUAAAAGAGUCUCAGGGACAGGAAGCAGAGGGUGAGGUAAAAGAGUAUCAGGGACAGGAAACAAAGGGUGAGGCAAAAGAGUCCCAGGAACAGGAACAGGAAGCAGAGGGUGAGGUAAAAAAGUAUCAGGGACAGGAAGCAGAGGGUGAGGUAAAAGAGUCUCAGGGACAGGAAGCAGAGGGUGAAGUAAAAGAGUAUCAGGGACUGGAAGCAGAGGGUGAGGUAAAAGAGUCUCAGGGACAGGAAGCAGAGGGUGAGGUAAAAUAGUCUCAGGGACAGGAAGAAAUAAAAGAGGAGAUGAAGGAAGAAUGAAAAUACUGAGAUUCAGGCAGCAAAGAAGAAGGAAAAUUGGAUUAGAAACAAGAGGGAAAUGUAGAGGAGGCAUUAGUCGUUGUGUGAUAUACUACAUAUACAAAAGUAUUUGGACACCCUUUCAAAUUAGUGGAUUCGGCUAUUUCAGACACACCUGUUGCUGACGUGUAUAAAAUCGAGCACACAGCCAUGCACUUUCCAUAGACAAACACUGGCAGUAGAAUGGCCCAUACUGAAGAGCUCAGUGACUUUCAACGUGGCACCGUUAUAGGAUGCCACCUUUCCAACAAGUCAG